GACGUAGGGGCCGAGCGUUGUCCGGAGUUACUGGGCGUAAAGCGCGCGCAGGCGGCCUGGCAAGCCCGCCGUGAAAGCCCCCGGCUCAACCGGGGAGGGUCGGCGGGGACUGGCAGGCUUGAGGGGGGCAGAGGCCGGUGGAAUGCCCGGUGUAGUGGUGAAAUGCGUAGAGAUCGGGCGGAACACCCGUGGCGAAGGCGGCCGGCUGGGCCGACCCUGACGCUGAGGCGCGAAGGCGUGGGGAGCGAACGGG
Molecule: ribosomal RNA, 253 nt
Filed under: uncultured bacterium
Lineage: Bacteria
Description: partial 16S ribosomal RNA
Rfam family: Bacterial small subunit ribosomal RNA
Source: RNAcentral